RNAcentral lists this long non-coding RNA (1834 nucleotides) under Sorghum bicolor (sorghum). Its description in RNAcentral is "long non-coding RNA (SBIC_LNC011107)". Lineage: Eukaryota; Viridiplantae; Streptophyta; Magnoliopsida; Poales; Poaceae. The record is from RNAcentral.
UGAAUACCAAACUAAUCCAGGCGCUGCUGUGAGGGCAUCCAAUCACUCUUUCAGGUGCAUUCGGGGCCCUCUUUUGCAUUCUUCUUAGCCUAAAUCAAAAUCCAGUCCAAUUUAGAAUUUUUUGAGCAAAAAUCUAUCUGAAUAAAUAUCAGUACAUUUUUCUUAUUAGAAUUUUAAGUGCACUGCAGCAGAGCUGUGAGAUACUAUAGAAACAUAAUUAGAAACAGGAACAAUGAAUGCUAGCCCUAAGAACAGAGGUACUAAAACUUUUGCACAUCCAUAAAAAUAAAUUUCUGAAUAAUUAGAGCUUUACCAGUUGCCACAUCCCUAUAUAAAUGAUCAGUACAUCGACCUGAUCUUAUAAUAUUGGCUUCAAAUCUAUUAGCAGUCCUAAAUAUUAUUAUAGCCAAAAGAAUGAUACAGUUCAUGAAACUAAUAAUUGUUGAUACAUCUGCAAAAGAGGCCCAUUAAUUCCAUCAUCUUUGUACAGCUAUUCACAAGAGAUUAUUCGGUUUCAUAGAGUUUGAUAUUUGCUCCUACUCUUAUGUAUUUAAUAGGUGAGAUGUGGAUAAGUGUUUGUUGAUUGUCUUAAUUCUUAUGCUUCAUAACCUGUGGUGAUUAUUUCUUAUGUGUCUGCAAUACUUUGUCUUUCACUGAAAAUUUAAGUCUGUAUUCUCUGUCAAGAUUUCAGCUAUAAGUUUCUUGGAAGCUUAUGAAUCUCAUAUAAAUCUCAUUAUCCAUUUAUACAUCUGUUGAAAUCUAGAACUAGGUUCUUCUUGUGUUAUUUUUCUUACAAGAAUGUUCAGAGGUUCACUUCCUUUUCAUGACUCAGGAGACUAGCGAGAUUUCAGAGCCACCAGUCAUACCUUUGUUGUUAUGGUGGUUAUAUGAUGCAUAAUUUCUUUAUUUGCAUCAAUUAAGAUCACCCUUUAAUGCACACUUUACUUUUAUCUAAACCCACUGCAAUCUUAUUUGAUACAUGAAUGUGAGAUGUUUAUGCAGUUGUUAUUUCUUAUUUACUAAUGCUCCUCUUGACUGAAAUUUAGACCAGAUUACUUGGCAGACUGUAGUUGGCAUGCUCCUGGUGAGACCCUGCCGUCAUGUAAGCCAGCGUACAAGCGUAGGACUCAUGGUGCCAAGGUCCACAACAUGAGGCUCCAAAUUUUCUUCAUAUUUUAUUUAUGCUAUUAUUGAUAUUUAUUAAGAAGCUGCGAUGCAUGUCCAUCCAGACAAUUUAUUUCAAUUCAUUUUGCCAUUUGAUUAAGUGUCAUCCUCUAUUUGUCCAAACUGCAAGAAAGGGAGCUGAUUUAGUGAACCUUGGAGGAUACUGGAGACCACAACUAUGGGACCUCAGCCUUGCUAUAAUCGGGAUGUGAACAUUUGGCUCUUUUUAGUUGUGGUACUUUCAGUUCGGUUCUCGGUAAUUUGUGCCCAAAGUGACAUUUGAAGCUGACAGUGGUUUCUUCAGCCUCGCACAAGCAUUUUGUUUGGUGGUCCAAGCAAGUUAAGCUGAGCACUAGACCAAUUUGGCCUCUCUUGAGCUGUGAGUAUAUAAUCUCAUGAUGAUCACUGCUACGGUUUGAUGUAUCCGAAGUUAUACGUUGCAUAAAGAGUAGGUAUAUAGAAAUGGCUUGAGCUUUUGUAAUUAACUUAAUCGCAUAAUGUAAUAAUCAAGACAAUUUUAUUUGAGUCUAUUAAUUGUAUGUCUUGUUCUCAUCUUUAGCUCUCGUAGCAACGCACGGGCACUCACCUAGUACUACUAAAAACUUAUUUUCCGUUCCUCUCGCUCCACAUUCAAAGGUGGACCAAAAGCAAGAAGAAUAUGUAAGCUAAG